GAAUUAGGCAGGGCUGAUGAAUUAGGCAGGUGUGAUGAAUUAGGCAGGUCUGAUGAAUUAGGCAGGGCUGAUGAAUUAGGCAGGGCUGAUGAAUUAGGCAGGUCUGAUGAAUUAGGCAGGGCUGAUGAAUUAGGCAGGUCUGGUGAAUUAGGCAGUGGUGAUGAAUUAGGAAGGUCUGAUGAAUUAGGCAGGUCUGAUGAAUUAGGUAGGUUUGAUGAAUUAGGCAGGUCUGGUGAAUUAGGCAGGUCUGGUGAAUUAGGCAGGUCAGGUGAAUUAGGCAGUGGUGAUGAAUUAGGCAGGUCUGGUGAAUUAGGCAGGUCUGGUGAAUUAGGCAGGUCUGGUGAAUUAGGCAGGUCUGAUGAAUUAGGCAGGUGUGAUGAAUUAGGCAGGUCUGGUGAAUUAGACAGUGGUGAUGAAUUAGGCAGGUCUGGUAAAUUAGACAUGGUUACGCAAGACAAAAACAAAAGUAGGGUGGCUGGGC
Long non-coding RNA from Oncorhynchus tshawytscha (Chinook salmon), 481 nucleotides. NCBI's taxonomy places the organism in Eukaryota, Metazoa, Chordata, Actinopteri, Salmoniformes, Salmonidae. The record is from Ensembl.